GGGCGAUUAGCACAGCUGGUUAGUGCGCGCGGUUCACAUCCGCGAGGUCGUUGGUUCGAAUCCAACAUCGCCCACCG
This 77-nucleotide transfer RNA is filed under the name Chloroflexi bacterium 13_1_40CM_4_68_4. Its description in RNAcentral is "tRNA-Val". It matches the Rfam family "tRNA". Rfam says of the family: Transfer RNA (tRNA) molecules are approximately 80 nucleotides in length. Their secondary structure includes four short double-helical elements and three loops (D, anti-codon, and T loops). Further hydrogen bonds mediate the characteristic L-shaped molecular structure. tRNAs have two regions of fundamental functional importance: the anti-codon, which is responsible for specific mRNA codon recognition, and the 3' end, to which the tRNAs corresponding amino acid is attached (by aminoacyl-tRNA synthetases). tRNAs cope with the degeneracy of the genetic code in two manners: having more than one tRNA (with a specific anti-codon) for a particular amino acid; and 'wobble' base-pairing, i.e. permitting non-standard base-pairing at the 3rd anti-codon position. The record is from RNAcentral. Lineage: Bacteria; Bacillati; Chloroflexota.